This 434-nucleotide ribosomal RNA is filed under the name uncultured bacterium. RNAcentral describes it as "bacterial SSU rRNA". It matches the Rfam family "Bacterial small subunit ribosomal RNA", at positions 608 to 1042 of the family's 1533-position model. The record is from RNAcentral.
CUAAACUGAGGGAGGUACGUCGAAACUGACCGGCUAGAGGGACGUAGAGGUAAGCGGAACUCUCGGAGUAGCGGUGAAAUGCGUAGAGACCGAGAGGUACCCCGAUGGUGAAGACAGCUUACUGGGCGUCUCCUGACGCUGAAGCGCUAAGGCCAGGGGAGCAAAGGGGAUUAGAUACCCCCGUAGUCCUGGCUUCAAACGAUGUGGGCUUGGUGUCGGCCCCCUAUAGAGGGUCGUUGCCGGAGUUAACGCGUUAAGCCCACCGCCUGGGGAUUACGUCCGCAAGGAUGAGACUCAAGGGAAUUGACGGGGGCCCACACAACCGGUGGAGCACGUGGUUUAAUUCGAUGAUAAGCGAAGAACCUUACCAGGGCUUGACCUAGCGGUAGUAGAACCCCGAAAGGGGAACGACCUCAAGCUUUGCUUGAGGAGCC